UACGUAGGGGCGAGCGUUAUCCGGAAUUAUUGGGCGUAAAGGGUUCGCAGGCGGCCUUGUAAGUCAGAUGUGAAAGACAGCGGCUUAACCGUUGUAAGCAUUUGAAACUGCAGGGCUUGAGUACAGGAGAGGAAAGCGGAAUUCCUAGUGUAGCGGUGAAAUGCGUAGAUAUUAGGAGGAACGCCAGUGGCGAAGGCGGCUUUCUGGACUGAUACUGACGCUGAGGAACGAAAGCGUGGGGAGCAAACAGGAUUAGAUACCCCGGUAGUCCCUGA
Molecule: ribosomal RNA, 275 nt
Filed under: uncultured prokaryote
Description: partial 16S ribosomal RNA
Rfam family: Bacterial small subunit ribosomal RNA
Source: RNAcentral